GAAACGCGAUAGGUAAUGUGAAUUGCAGAAUUCCGUGAAUCAUCGAAUCUUUGAACGCACAUUGCGCCUUCUGGUAUUCCGGUAGGCAUGCCUGUCUGAGCGUCAGCAAAACACCCUCAGCCUGAGUUAUUUUCGUACUCAAUGCUGGUCUUGGGUAGUGGAUGCCGGUGGGGUUAUUUCUUCCCCCCCUGCGCCCUCCCUAAACUUGCUGCACGACCGCAAGCCCCUUCUAGCCAGGUCAAUGGAGUGGUGUUACAAUCUUCCAAAAAGCCUGCUGGUAAAACUGCUUUGCGGCGUUAAACCUUAACGUCUCUCCCACCGGGGAGACAUGAAGUUUUGACCUCAGAUCAGACAAGGAUACCCGCUGAACUUAA
RNAcentral lists this unclassified non-coding RNA (374 nucleotides) under uncultured fungus. RNAcentral describes it as "sequence contains ITS1". The stretch from base 1 to 105 matches the Rfam family "5.8S ribosomal RNA", at positions 50 to 154 of the family's 154-position model. The record is from RNAcentral. Lineage: Eukaryota; Fungi.